CCUACGGGGGCUGCAGUGGGGAAUAUUGGACAAUGGGCGAAAGCCUGAUCCAGCCAUGCCGCGUGUGUGAAGAAGGCCUUCGGGUUGUAAAGCACUUUCAGUGGGGAAGAAAGCCUUGGGGCUAAUACCCUCGAGGAAGGACAUCACCCACAGAAGAAGCACCGGCUAACUCCGUGCCAGCAGCCGCGGUAAUACGGAGGGUGCGAGCGUUAAUCGGAAUUACUGGGCGUAAAGCGCGCGUAGGCGGUCUGAUAAGCCGGUUGUGAAAGCCCCGGGCUCAACCUGGGAACGACAUCCGGAACUGUCAGGCUAGAGUGCAGGAGAGGAAGGUAGAAUUCCCGGUGUAGCGGUGAAAUGCGUAGAGAUCGGGAGGAAUACCAGUGGCGAAGGCGGCCUUCUGGACUGACACUGACGCUGAGGUGCGAAAGCGUGGGUAGCAAACAGGAUUAGAUACCCCAGUAGUC
This 464-nucleotide ribosomal RNA is filed under the name Vreelandella stevensii. RNAcentral's name for it is "partial 16S ribosomal RNA". It matches the Rfam family "Bacterial small subunit ribosomal RNA", at positions 338 to 795 of the family's 1533-position model. Lineage: Bacteria; Pseudomonadati; Pseudomonadota; Gammaproteobacteria; Oceanospirillales; Halomonadaceae. The record is from RNAcentral.